GUGAAAGUAGAGGUUGCGAAUAUGACCGACCAAGUAGACUUAGCUGCGAGUGCUCGCGAAUUCAAGUGUAUUAGCUGCGGAAACAAGACUGACCAACUUUAUCGUGAUUUCAAUUCCGGAAUUAUCAAGAUUGAGCAUUGCAAACAUUGCCAGAAGGUUGUGGAUAAAUACAUUGAGUCAGAGCCAGUGAUCAUUUGUUUGGAUUUUUUGCUGUUAAAACAGCAAGCCUUCCGCCAUGUUUUGUACAAUAGAAAAACUCAGGGACACUGGAAGUUAGUGGCCAUCCUACUACUCUGUGAUGCUUUUACAAAACUGUUGCUGGGGCGACCACACAGUACAGAGUCUUACCUGCGGCCUGAUUACAUGAUCUACUCUGCCUUAGAAUGGGGGCUUUAUAUUAACUUCAGUCUAGCAUUAAUAGAGUUAUUCAUUACCAUUUUGAUAAUCAUUGUAUGCAUCAGGACAAUUUCUACUGAGAAAUGCAGGCCAGGAGAGCUGAUGCGUGGAGUGCUGCUGUCAAACUUUGGUAAAAUCCUUGUGAUACCUGCAGUUCUGUGGGGGACGAACUACAGCCUUAUCUAUGUUUCUCUUAGUCGAAUGUUUGUAUGUGCCGCCAAUAUCCAAGCCAUCAGAGUUCUCAGUCCAGGCUGCCAUGUUUCCACUUGCAUCAUGUCAGUAGUGCUUGGACAUGUUGUUGCCAUGCUUUCAUCCAUCUGGAUACAAAACAUUCUUUCACAAGUCCCAGGGUGAAGAUCAUUAACAGAUAAAGACAAGGUGGUGCUGUUCUAUCGGAAGUUACAAGGUGGUGCUGUACUAUCACAUGCCAAGGUGGUGCUGUACUAUCACAUGACAAGGUGUUGCUGUACUAUCACAUGACAAGAUGGUGCUGUACUAUCGGAAGUUACAAGGUGGUGCUGUUCUACCACAAGACAAGUUGGUGCUGUACUAUCACAAGUGACAUGGUGGUGCUGUACUAUCACACAUAACAAGGUGGUGCUGUACUAUCACAAGACAAUGUGGUGCUGUGCUAUUAAAAAUGACAAGGUGAUGCUGUACUAUCACAAGUUACAAGGUGGUGCUGUACUAUCAUAAGACAAUCUGGUGAUGUACUACCACAAGUUAUAAGAUGGUACUGUACUAUCACAAGUUAUAAGGUGGUGCUGUACUAUCACAAGUUACAAGGUGGUGCUUUACUAUCACAAGUUACAAGGUGGUGCUGUACUAUCACAAGUUACAAGGUGGUGCUGUACUAUCACAAGUUACAAGGUGGUGCUGUACUAUCACAAGUUACAAGGUGGUGCUGUACUAUCACAAGUUACAAGGUGGUGCUGUACUAUCACAAGUUACAAGGUGGUGCUUGACUACCACAAGUUACAAGGUGUUGCUGUACUACCACAGGACAAGAUGGUGCUGUACUAUCACAAGUUAUAAGAUGGUACUGUACUAUCACAAGUUAUAAGGUGGUGCUGUACUAUCACAAGUUACAAGGUGGUGCUGUACUAUCACAAGUUACAAGGUGGUGCUGUACUAUCACAAGUUACAAGGUGGUGCUGUACUAUCACAAGUUACAAGGUGGUGCUGUACUAUCACAAGUUACAAGGUGGUGCUGUACUAUCACAAGUUACAAGGUGGUGCUGUACUAUCACAAGUUACAAGGUGGUGCUGUACUAUCACAAGUUACAAGGUGGUGCUGUACUAUCACAAGUUACAAGGUGGUGCUGUACUAUCACAAGUUACAAGGUGGUGCUGUACUAUCACAAGUUACAAGGUGGUGCUGUACUAUCACAAGUUACAAGGUGGUGCUGUACUAUCACAAGUUACAAGGUGGUGCUUUACUACCACAAGUUACAAGGUGUUGCUGUACUACCACAGGACAAGAUGGUGCUGUACUAUCACAAGUUAUAAGAUGGUACUGUACUAUCACAAGUUAUAAGGUGGUGCUGUACUAUCACAAGUUACAAGGUGGUGCUUUACUAUCACAAGUUACAAGGUGGUGCUGUACUAUCACAAGUUACAUGGUUUUGCUGUACUAUCACAAGUUAAAAGGUGGUGCUUUACCAUCACAAGUUACAAGGUGGUGUUUUACUAUCACAAGUUACAAGGUGGUGCUGUACUACCACAAGUUACAAGUUGGUGCUGUACUAUCACAAGACAUGGUGGUGCUAUACUAUCAGAAGUGACAAGGUAGUGCUGUACUAUCACAAGACAUGGUGGUGCUGUACUAUCAGAAGUGACAAGGUAGUGCUGUACUAUCACAAGACAUGGUGGUGCUGUACUAUCAGAAGUGACAAGGUAGUGCUGUACUAUCACAAGACAUGGUGGUGCUAUACUAUCAGAAGUGACAAGGUAGUGCUGUACUAUCACAAGACAUGGUGGUGCUGUACUAUCAGAAGUGACAAGGUAGUGCUGUACUAUCACAAGACAUGGUGGUGCUAUACUAUCAGAAGUGACAAGGUAGUGCUGUACUAUCACAAGACAUGGUGGUGCUGUACUAUCAGAAGUGACAAGGUAGUGCUGUACUACCACAUGACAAGGUGUUGCUGUACUACCACAGGACAAGAUGGUGCUGUACUAUCACAAGUUAUAAGAUGGUGCUGUACUAUCACAAGUUAUAAGUUGGUGAUGUACUAUCACAAGUUAUAAGGUAGUGCUGUACUAUCACAAGACAUGGUGGUGCUGUACUAUCAGAAGUGACAAGGUAGUGCUGUACUACCACAUGACAAGGUGGUGCUGUUACUAACAGAAGUGACAAUGUGGUGAUGUACUAAAACAAGACAAUGUGGUGAUGUACUAAAACAAGACAAGGUGGUGAUGUACUAAAACAAGACAAGGUGGUGAUGUACUAAAAUAAAACAUAGUGGUACUGUACUUAAACAAUACAUGGUGGUGCUGUACUAAAACAAGACAAUGGGGUGAUGUACUAAAACAAGACAAGGUGGUGAUGUACUAAAACAAGACAAGGUGGUGCUGUACUAAAACAAGACAAGGUGGUGCUGUACUAAAACAAGACAAAGUGGUGAUGUACUAAAACAAGACAAUGUGGUGAUGUACUAAAAUAAGACAAUGUGGUGAUGUACUAAAAUAAGACAAAGUGGUGAUGUACUAAAACAAGACAAGGUGGUGCUGUACUAAAACAAGACAAGGUGGUGCUGAUAACAUCAGCCUGUAACACUAACAUGGUUUGUGCUAGUCCAGUAGUUGAUUGGUAUGAUGUCAGCCUUGAAAAAGAACAUUGCACUUUCAUCAAGAGAGGGAAACACGGUGUUAUAUCUCCGUCAUGUGAUAAAUGUAAUCCAAUCAGACACACUGUUAUAUAAAUGAGGUGUAUUAAUACUAUGUAUUCUUAAAGAGGAUUGACUCUCUUCAUGUCUGAAGUAUAUUAUACCUCACAAAAUAGAGAUCAUUAGACGUGCUUCAACACUUCAAAAAGUCAAUGUAUUAAUUAUGGUUUGGAAUUAAACCUCGAACAUUAUUUUGA
Molecule: unclassified non-coding RNA, 3478 nt
Filed under: Mizuhopecten yessoensis (Yesso scallop)
Lineage: Eukaryota; Metazoa; Mollusca; Bivalvia; Pectinida; Pectinidae
Description: protein ARV1-like, transcript variant X3
Source: RNAcentral